UGCAACCUGAACUCAGAUGUGAUUACCCGCUGAACUUAAGCAUAUCAUUUAGCGG
Molecule: ribosomal RNA, 55 nt
Filed under: Metastrongylus apri
Lineage: Eukaryota; Metazoa; Nematoda; Chromadorea; Rhabditida; Metastrongylidae
Description: partial 28S ribosomal RNA
Source: RNAcentral